UAACGUUCCCGGGUCUUGUACACACCGCCCGUCACACCAUGGGAGCGGGUUUUACCAGAAGUAGGUAGCUUAACCGUAAGGAGGGCGCUUACCACGGUAGGAUUCGUGACUGGGGUG
This 117-nucleotide ribosomal RNA is filed under the name uncultured bacterium. RNAcentral describes it as "partial 16S ribosomal RNA". It matches the Rfam family "Bacterial small subunit ribosomal RNA", at positions 1366 to 1482 of the family's 1533-position model. The record is from RNAcentral.